RNAcentral lists this ribosomal RNA (519 nucleotides) under uncultured bacterium. RNAcentral describes it as "bacterial SSU rRNA". It matches the Rfam family "Bacterial small subunit ribosomal RNA", at positions 373 to 883 of the family's 1533-position model. The record is from RNAcentral.
GGACGAAAGUCUGAUGGAGCAACGCCGCGUGAGCGAAGAAGGCCUUCGGGUCGUAAAGCUCUGUUGUUAGGGAAGAACAAGUAUCGGAGUAACUGCCGGUACCUUGACGGUACCUAACCAGAAAGCCACGGCUAACUACGUGCCAGCAGCCGCGGUAAUACGUAGGUGGCAAGCGUUGUCCGGAAUUAUUGGGCGUAAAGCGCGCGCAGGCGGUCCUUUAAGUCUGAUGUGAAAGCCCACGGCUCAACCGUGGAGGGUCAUUGGAAACUGGGGGACUUGAGUGCAGAAGAGGAAAGCGGAAUUCCACGUGUAGCGGUGAAAUGCGUAGAGAUGUGGAGGAACACCAGUGGCGAAGGCGGCUUUCUGGUCUGUAACUGACGCUGAGGCGCGAAAGCGUGGGGAGCAAACAGGAUUAGAUACCCUGGUAGUCCACGCCGUAAACGAUGAGUGCUAAGUGUUAGGGGGUUUCCGCCCCUUAGUGCUGCAGCUAACGCAUUAAGCACUCCGCCUGGGGAGUAC